RNAcentral lists this long non-coding RNA (1072 nucleotides) under Ananas comosus (pineapple). RNAcentral describes it as "long non-coding RNA (ACOM_LNC012085)". Lineage: Eukaryota; Viridiplantae; Streptophyta; Magnoliopsida; Poales; Bromeliaceae. The record is from RNAcentral.
UUUAUUUUGUUUGUACCAUCUAUUUGUUGUUGACCCAAAUUCUAUUAGACAUGAUUAAGACUAUAUUUUUAAAUUCUGAUAUAUUUCAAAACUUGUGGGGGUUACACUCUUUUAUCAGUUUGAUAAAUUUUGAUAUUAUAAUUGCUCUCGUGAUUUUAUCCUAGUAUUCAUCUUGGAAACGAAUUUUGCAAAUUCUAAGAUUGGCAAGUAAAUUAUUUUGAGACAUAAAUUUAUUAGAUGGUUAUUUUCAUAAUAUUACUUAUUUGAUUUUUAUCAAAUCUGAACAGAAUUUUGCAGAUUAUUUGACGAACGGCCUGAAUAGGACUAAGGUCCUGGAGUCAUCGUGAGGGAUGGGACUUGCCCGUAAAGGGCCUUCCUGCAGUGGGAACCCAACCUUUGUGAUUGGAGAUCUCUUGAAGAAGGUUCAAUGUGGUAAAAACAAGCUGUCAGGUUGGCCAAAGAGCACUUUCUACAAAUUUUAUAUAGGAGCUUUAGCUCCAAUCCCAUCCCUAUGGUGAGUAGUGCUCUAUGUAGUGGAUUAGGUUGAGCUGAAAGCUCUUAAUGGGAUCCAAGACGGUAAUUUCCGCGAGAUGUGACUCUACACGCAUUUCUGGAGGAGACCACCUAUAUAAGAGUAUCCGUAUGUGGCCGCGGCUAUGUGAAUGGGCUAUACAUAGAAACUCUUAUGAAAAAUCAAGGCACUGUGCAUGGCCAUUAACGCACAGACCCGCGACGGAGAAUUCUAUACUGUGUGUGUGGUAGUUGAAGUCAGGGCCAAAGGAACGUAGUUCAAGACCUGGUUCACUCCGAUUCCUUCUGAUGGAAACUAUUUACACUAAGUGGGGUUAAGUCCUUAAAGACACCUCGCCUACUGCAUAGUAUAAACACCCGGUGAUUUAUUCAUUUAUUUAUUUUAAUUUUUAAGUUUCAUUUCUAUUUUGAGAUUUUGAAUUUUGUGGGGGAUUGUUGGUGUAAAAUCCAAAAUCUCUAAAUAUUAUUUAAUUAUUUUAUUCUCAUUAAUUGUCUUUUAUUAUGUUAAUUAAUUGAAUAAAUUUAAUUUUAUUUUAUUACU